This 370-nucleotide ribosomal RNA is filed under the name uncultured organism. Its description in RNAcentral is "partial 16S ribosomal RNA". It matches the Rfam family "Bacterial small subunit ribosomal RNA", at positions 527 to 896 of the family's 1533-position model. The record is from RNAcentral.
AGAGGGUGCGAGCGUUAAUCGGAAUUACUGGGCGUAAAGGGUGCGCAGGUUGAUUUUCAAGUUGGGUGUGAAAGCCCCGGGCUUAACCUGGGACGGCCAUUCAAAACUGGGGAUCUAGAGUACGGUAGAGGAUAGUGGAAUCUUCGGUGUAGCGGUGAAAUGCGUAGAUAUCGAAAGGAACAUCAAUGGCGAAGGCAGCUAUCUGGGCUGAUACUGACACUGAGGCGCGAAAGCGUGGGGUAGCAAACAGGAUUAGAUACCCUGGUAGUCCACGCUGUAAACGAUGAGAACUAGCCGUUGGGCAUUUUAAAUGUUUAGUGGCGCAGCUAACGCGUUAAGUUUUCCGCCUGGGGAUACGGCCGCAAGGUUA